GUGAAUCAUCGAAUUUUUGAACGCAUAUUGCACUCUCUGGUAUUCGGGAGAGUAUGCCUAUUUGAGGGUCAUUUGAAAUAAUAUAAAUUCAAAGAUUUCUGGGAAUUUAAAAUGGGUUGUCCAUUUUUUGUGGUCGCUUAAAAUCCAAGAAAAGCUCAUUUUCUUGGGUUGCGGGAUAUUUUUAGUUACCUGGUGACUUAACCAGGAAUCAUGGGGGGUGUUAUAAAUUU
RNAcentral lists this unclassified non-coding RNA (230 nucleotides) under Ambisporaceae sp. RNAcentral describes it as "partial contains 5.8S ribosomal RNA and internal transcribed spacer 2". The stretch from base 1 to 71 matches the Rfam family "5.8S ribosomal RNA", at positions 84 to 154 of the family's 154-position model. Lineage: Eukaryota; Fungi; Glomeromycota; Glomeromycetes; Archaeosporales; Ambisporaceae. The record is from RNAcentral.